CUAAGAUGUUUUCUGUGCUUUGUGUUUCAGCAUGAUGAGAAACCCUACUGCACUAACUGUUACAUGAAGAUGUUUGGUACCAGAGCAGGUAACAGGAGACUGAUGUCAAACUGUCACAGCUCAGCCUCCUCUUCCUCUUCCUCCUCCUAGGAACCAGUCUACCAAAAACCACCAAAAUACAACCUAAUGAGAACUAACAGCCUAUCAACAAGGAUCUAUGUUCAACAAACCUGACAUUCAGCCAUCAAGACAAUGACCAACCAACUAGACCCAACAUUCAGCCAACCAACAUUUGACCAACCAAGAAAUAUUCUGAAAGUCUCCCUCUUUCAGUCAGUCAUAAAACAACUACCUUGACCACAACAUUGUGUUCAAUGGAGAAACGGUUGUUCUUCAAUAAAACAGAAGCUUCUACAGUC
Long non-coding RNA from Salmo salar (Atlantic salmon), 419 nucleotides. RefSeq lists it as uncharacterized. Lineage: Eukaryota; Metazoa; Chordata; Actinopteri; Salmoniformes; Salmonidae. The record is from RefSeq and is a predicted model, not a curated record.